Lolium rigidum is the source of this 284-nucleotide long non-coding RNA. RefSeq lists it as uncharacterized. The record is from RefSeq and is a predicted model, not a curated record. The transcript has 3 exons. NCBI's taxonomy places the organism in Eukaryota, Viridiplantae, Streptophyta, Magnoliopsida, Poales, Poaceae.
AGUUGGGCUUACUUUCUAUUGUUAUAUAGUCAUAAGGCAGAUUGUUCAUUAAAAUUAAGUUAUACUAAUGACUAAACUAAAUGACUCAGUGUUCUUGCAGAACGAAGCCAAAUGUCAGAGAUCUUGUUUCAAUUUGAAACCACGAAUCAAAACAUUGUGCGAAAACUGAACCAAACUCAGUGAGUGCCCAUGCCCAGGUUUGUGUGCUAUGCGACAUGAUUAUAAUGGGUUUGAAUUGGGAUGUAUACCAGGGACAACUCUCUGGAGGGUGCAGUGGUAGUUCC